AUCACACAGUAAUUGAUACAUCUCCAACAAGUGGCUCUCCAGGAAAUCAAUUCUGACAGGUCCGUCAGCACCUGGAUUGUCUAACAAGGAUCUUUGCAGGCUCCUUCUCCUCCAUGUGCCCCUUCCUCCUUCAGGCUGUGGGGUCAUCCCAUGGUUGUGUUAGGGGCUCCCUCCUAGCCCCAAGUGGGCUGCUGGGGGAGGAGAAGGCACCAGGGGCCACAUGGAAUAGAUUGAUCAGCGGGCAGAGUCUGCACUCAGAGGUGAAGAAAUGGAGACACAGAGAGGUUAAGUAACUUGCCCAUGUGCACACAGCUAGUGACAAAUGGCAUUAGAAAACAGAUUCUUUGCCUGCCAAAGAGUGACGGUGCAGAUCACUUCCCUCUGGGAUCUUCAUGGGAGAAAGAUAUUAACUUUAGGGUUGUUAUGAGACCCACUUGAAAUAAUCAGGUAAAACUCUUGGCCCACAGCAACCCCACCAUGUCCUCAUCUAGACACUGUUAAAUAGGCAACUAGACACCUUCAUCUUCUUCACCAUGCUUCUUGCCAUCUCUCCAGAGGCUUCUAUUAGAUCACAAGUGGGUUCGAGAGUGAGGCACAUCAGCGGGGCCAUACAAUGAGGAUGAGAUGAACUUUUGGGCCAGAUAGGGAGGCUUCUGGGAACAAGAAGGCUGGGCCUGAGGACAUAACUGACAGAGGAGCUUAACUCAGGUGGGGUGUGUCUGAUGCAGGGUCCUCCAAGCAAAGCAGCCCUGGCACCAUGCACCAUGCACCAUGCACCAUGCAGGGCAGCAGGGAGACUAAGCUCAAGAAGAAGACAGUGUAGGAAGAGCCAGGAAGGAGUCCAGAUUCCAACAGUCCUUGUGAAAAAACUAGAGCAGGGGUUGACAAACUAUAGC
Molecule: long non-coding RNA, 896 nt
Filed under: Heterocephalus glaber (naked mole-rat)
Lineage: Eukaryota; Metazoa; Chordata; Mammalia; Rodentia; Bathyergidae
Description: lncRNA (ENSHGLG00100047148.1)
Source: RNAcentral